AUUGAACGCUGGCGGCAGGCCUAACACAUGCAAGUCGAACGAGUGGCGGACGGGUGAGUAAUGUCUGGGACCCUGCCCGAUGGAGGGUGAUAACUACUGGAAACGGUAGCUAAUACCGCAUACCCUCGGAUGUGCCCAGGUGGGAUUAGCUCGUCGGUGGGGUAAAGGCUCCCCUAGGCGACGAUCCCUAGCUGGUCUGAGAGGAUGACAAGCAACACUGGAACGGAGACACGGUCCAGACUCCUACGGGGGGCAGCAGUGGGGAAUAGUGCACAAUGGGCGCAAGCCUGAUGCAGCCAUGCCGCGUGUAUGAAGAAGUCCUUCGGGUUGUAAAGUACUUUCAGCGAGGAGGCGUUACUCGCAGAAGAAGCACCGGCUAACUCCGUGCCAGCAGCCGCGGUAAUAC
Molecule: ribosomal RNA, 406 nt
Filed under: uncultured bacterium
Lineage: Bacteria
Description: partial 16S ribosomal RNA
Rfam family: Bacterial small subunit ribosomal RNA
Source: RNAcentral